This 90-nucleotide transfer RNA is filed under the name Hypomontagnella monticulosa. RNAcentral's name for it is "tRNA-Pro". It matches the Rfam family "tRNA". Rfam says of the family: Transfer RNA (tRNA) molecules are approximately 80 nucleotides in length. Their secondary structure includes four short double-helical elements and three loops (D, anti-codon, and T loops). Lineage: Eukaryota; Fungi; Ascomycota; Sordariomycetes; Xylariales; Hypoxylaceae. The record is from RNAcentral.
GGUGUCUUGGAGAAGUGGCAACUCGCUCCUUUUGGGAAACCGACCAUUUCGAUAUAGGAGAGAUCAGGGGUUCGAACCCCCUAGGCGCCC